UUUAAAUUGAGAGGUUGAUCCUGGCUCAGGACGAACGCUGGCGGCGUGCCUAACACAUGCAAGUCGAGCGAUGAAGCUUCCUUCGGGAAGUGGAUUAGCGGCGGACGGGUGAGUAACACGUGGGUAACCUGCCUCAAAGAGUGGGAUAGCCUCCCGAAAGGGAGAUUAAUACCGCAUAACAUUAUUUUAUGGCAUCAUAAAAUAAUCAAAGGAGCAAUCCGCUUUGAGAUGGACCCGCGGCGCAUUAGCUAGUUGG
RNAcentral lists this ribosomal RNA (256 nucleotides) under Clostridium botulinum D/C. RNAcentral describes it as "partial 16S ribosomal RNA". It matches the Rfam family "Bacterial small subunit ribosomal RNA", at positions 1 to 252 of the family's 1533-position model. The record is from RNAcentral. Lineage: Bacteria; Bacillati; Bacillota; Clostridia; Eubacteriales; Clostridiaceae.